Molecule: ribosomal RNA, 467 nt
Filed under: uncultured Alkaliflexus sp.
Lineage: Bacteria; Pseudomonadati; Bacteroidota; Bacteroidia; Marinilabiliales; Marinilabiliaceae
Description: bacterial SSU rRNA
Rfam family: Bacterial small subunit ribosomal RNA
Source: RNAcentral
GAGGGGCCCGCACAAGCAGUGGAGUAUGUGGUUUAAUUCGAAGCAACGCGAAGAACCUUACCAAGGCUUGACAUCCCUUGAAGCAGCUAGAGAUAGCUGUGUCCUUCGGGACAAGGAGACAGGUGGUGCAUGGUUGUCGUCAGCUCGUGCCGUGAGGUGUCGGGUUAAGUCCCAUAACGAGCGCAACCCCUAUUGAUAGUUACCAGCACGUAAUGGUGGGGACUCUAUCGAGACUGCCGGUGUAAGCCGUGAGGAAGGUGGGGAUGACGUCAAAUCAGCACGGCCCUUACAUCCAGGGCUACACACGUGUUACAAUGGCCGGUACAAAGGGCAGCUACUCCGCGAGGAGAUGCGAAUCUUAAAAACCGGUCUCAGUUCGGAUCGAAGUCUGCAACCCGACUUCGUGAAGCUGGAUUCGCUAGUAAUCGUAUAUCAGCCAUGAUACGGUGAAUACGUUCCCGGGCCUU